Molecule: non-coding RNA, 87 nt
Organism: Takifugu rubripes (torafugu)
Lineage: Eukaryota; Metazoa; Chordata; Actinopteri; Tetraodontiformes; Tetraodontidae
Source: Rfam
CCUUCGGUAGCUCAGCGGUAGAGCGGAGGACUGUAGGGGACCAUCACAGGAAUCCUUAGGUCGCUGGUUCAAAUCCGGCUCGAAGGA